GAUGAACGCUGGCGGCGUGCUUAACACAUGCAAGUCGAACGAUGAAGCCCAGCUUGCUGGGUGGAUUAGUGGCGAACGGGUGAGUAACACGUGAGUAACCUGCCCUUAACUCUGGGAUAAGCCUGGGAAACUGGGUCUAAUACCGGAUAGGAGCGUCCACCGCAUGGUGGGUGUUGGAAAGAUUUAUCGGUUUUGGAUGGACUCGCGGCCUAUCAGCUUGUUGGUGAGGUAAUGGCUAACCACGGCGACGACGGGUAGCCGGCCUGAGAGGGUGACAGGCCACACUGGGACUGAGACACGGCCCAGACUCCUACGGGAGGAAGCAGUGGGGAAUAUUGCACAAUGGGCGCAAGCCGGAUGCAGCGACGCCGCGUGAGGGAUGACGGCCUUCGGGUUGUAAACCUCUUUCAGUAGGGAAGAAGCGAAAGUGACGGUACCUGCAGAAGAAGCAACGGCUAACUACGUG
Molecule: ribosomal RNA, 466 nt
Filed under: uncultured bacterium
Lineage: Bacteria
Description: partial 16S ribosomal RNA
Rfam family: Bacterial small subunit ribosomal RNA
Source: RNAcentral